GAUGAACGCUGGCGGCGUGCUUAACACAUGCAAGUCGAACGAUGAAGCCCAGCUUGCUGGGUGGAUUAGUGGCGAACGGGUGAGUAACACGUGAGUAACCUGCCCUUAACUCUGGGAUAAGCCUGGGAAACUGGGUCUAAUACCGGAUAGGAGCGUCCACCGCAUGGUGGGUGUUGGAAAGAUUUAUCGGUUUUGGAUGGACUCGCGGCCUAUCAGCUUGUUGGUGAGGUAAUGGCUCACCAAGGCGACGACGGGUAGCCGGCCUGAGAGGGUGACCGGCCACACAGGGACUGAGACACGGCCCAGACUCCUACGGGAGGCAGCAGUGGGGAAUAUUGCACAAUGGGCGCAAGCCUGAUGCAGCGACGCCGCGUGAGGGAUGACGGCCUUCGGGUUGUAAACCCCUUUCAGUAGGGAAGAAGCGAAAGUGACGGUACCUGCAGAAGAAGCACCGGCUAACUACGUG
Molecule: ribosomal RNA, 466 nt
Filed under: uncultured bacterium
Lineage: Bacteria
Description: partial 16S ribosomal RNA
Rfam family: Bacterial small subunit ribosomal RNA
Source: RNAcentral